CCGGACCCAUAUUCAGAACUUGGCUCCUCGUACUCACUCUUCCUCCCAUAAACCACAGGUUCACUAUAUUCCGACCCGGGUCUUCUGCCGUAACCGGAUCCGUACUCCGAAGGGGGUUCCUCGUAAUCACUCUUUCUAACAUACCCUGAUCCGUAUUCAGAGGUGGGUUCCUCGAACUGUGGUUUCCUCCCAUGGCCGGAUCCGUAUUCAGAACUGGGUACCUCGUAUUUUGGCUCCCGCCCAUACCCGGAUCCAUACUCGGAAAAUGGCUCCUCGUACUGCGGUUUCCUACCAUAACCAGAUACAUAUUCAGAACCUGGUGCCUGGUACUCUGGUUUUCGACCAAACUCCAACCCGGGCCUCUCGUAAGUGUAACCAUAUUCAGGUCUUCCAGAUCCGAACCCUCCAGGUGGACCACCACCAUACUCGCUCCCUCCACCAGGCUGAAACCCAUAAUUAGGCCUGGGCCCAUCAUACCCAUAUCCAACCGGCGGUGGCGCUCCAGCAUACACAGGCGG
Molecule: long non-coding RNA, 518 nt
Filed under: Olea europaea (common olive)
Lineage: Eukaryota; Viridiplantae; Streptophyta; Magnoliopsida; Lamiales; Oleaceae
Description: long non-coding RNA (OEUR_LNC008757)
Source: RNAcentral